GAUGAAGAACGUAGCGAAAUGCGAUAAGUAGUGUGAAUUGCAGAAUUUAGUGAAUCAUCGAAUCUUUGAACGCACAUUGCGCCCUUUGGUAUUCCUUAGGGCAUGCCUGUUCGAGCGUCAUCUACACCCUCAAGCACAGCUUGGUGAUGGGCGCCUGUCCCGCCCCCCACGGGGGCGCGGAUUCGCCUCAAAUGCAUUGGCGGCCGGCGACCUGGCUUCGAGCGCAGCAGAAACGCGUACUCGGGGACCGGGCGCCCGCUCCCAGAAGCCAACCCACCCAGUUUGACCUCGGAUCAGGUAGGGAUACCCGCUGAACUUAAGCAUAUCAAUAAGCGGAGGA
Molecule: unclassified non-coding RNA, 340 nt
Filed under: soil metagenome
Description: partial contains 5.8S ribosomal RNA, internal transcribed spacer 2, and large subunit ribosomal RNA
Rfam family: 5.8S ribosomal RNA (bases 1-120)
Source: RNAcentral